UUUCAUUAAAAGUGUAACUAAGGUAGUGGGGAGUUGAUUUAUGGAAGAAGUUUUGAGGUUUGAUAAAUUAUUGGUGAUGGAGCAUUUCGACAGCCAUGGAACUUCACCAUGUAUAGCUUAUUUUUGCAUGUAAAUGGUAGUUUAGGAUGUUGAUUUAAAUGUUUAAUUGUAUUGAAGUUGAAUUCCAUGUGUAAAGUUUGA
RNAcentral lists this unclassified non-coding RNA (201 nucleotides) under Hevea brasiliensis (rubber tree). Lineage: Eukaryota; Viridiplantae; Streptophyta; Magnoliopsida; Malpighiales; Euphorbiaceae. The record is from RNAcentral.